AUUGAACGCUGGCGGCAGGCCUAACACAUGCAAGUCGAGCGGUAGAGAGAAGCUUGCUUCUCUUGAGAGCGGCGGACGGGUGAGUAAUGCCUCGGAACGUACCUUUUAGUGGGGGAUAACUAUCCGAAAGGAUGGCUAAUACCGCAUACGCCCUGAGGGGGAAAGCAGGGGAUCGCAAGACCUUGCGCUAAUAGAGCGGCCGAUGUUCGAUUAGCUAGUUGGUGAGGUAAAGGCUCACCAAGGCGACGAUCGAUAGCUGGUCUGAGAGGAUGAUCAGCCACACUGGAACUGAGACACGGUCCAGACUCCUACGGGAGGCAGCAGUGGGGAAUUUUGGACAAUGGGGGCAACCCUGAUCCAGCCAUUCCGCGUGAGUGAAGAAGGCCUUCGGGUUGUAAAGCUCUUUCGGCAGGAACGAAACGGUAGUUACUAAUACUAGCUGCUAAUGACGGUACCUGAAGAAGAAGCACCGGCUAACUACGUG
Molecule: ribosomal RNA, 484 nt
Filed under: uncultured bacterium
Lineage: Bacteria
Description: bacterial SSU rRNA
Rfam family: Bacterial small subunit ribosomal RNA
Source: RNAcentral